UGAGCAGACUAUGCAGCAGCGGAAACGUUAAAGUUUACGAGGAAAGUCCGGGCAUCACAGAGCAGGGUAGCUGCUAACGGCAGCCGAGGGCGACCUUAGGGCAAGUGCAACAGAGAUAUACCGCCGCUUUUGCGGUAAGGGUGGAAAGGUGAGGUAAGAGCUCACCGGAGCGCAGGAGACUGCGCUGCCAUGUAAACCCUAUCCGAUGCAACGUCUAUUGGUGCUUUGUAUCUUAACGUCUGCUCGGCGGAUACAAAGUAAUGACGGCUUCAGCUUACUGGCGACUGUAAGCGUAGAUAAAUUGCUGCACACGACAGAACCCGGCUUAUCGGUCUGGUCAUUUC
Molecule: RNase P RNA, 344 nt
Filed under: Ruminococcus sp.
Lineage: Bacteria; Bacillati; Bacillota; Clostridia; Eubacteriales; Oscillospiraceae
Description: RNase P RNA component class A
Rfam family: Bacterial RNase P class A
About the family: Ribonuclease P (RNase P) is a ubiquitous endoribonuclease, found in archaea, bacteria and eukarya as well as chloroplasts and mitochondria.
Source: RNAcentral